UUCUCUGUUAUUUGGUUUUGGUGUAGUAGUGUGAUCUAUAUUUUUCCGGACAGUUUUAGUCCUUUGUAUUUUGGACGGGUUGUUUCAUGCGCCCUUGGGUUUCGCAUGUCCGUGUCUCCACUUUCUUUGGAAUAAAAUAUCCACGUACGGAAUUACCUGCUCUCUGCGCUUGACUCCUCCACUCACCAUUCAUUGAAGUCGUAAAACAAGAGGCAAAUGGAGGUAUCUCUACUUGCACACGCAUCUUCUGCACAUCUAUCACUCCAGUGUUGAAUUGAUAAAUUUUCUUCCCGCUCUGACUCUGGUCCCUGUCUCCAGUCCGACUUCUUGUCAGUCCUGCUAGUCUGUCCUGGAUUCUACACUCCCCUGGAUUCCCCUCCGGAUCUGCUUACCCUGUCCCCACACCUCUCACUCUAGCCUCCGCACCUGGCUUCCAGCAACCCGCCCGAGCUUCCCCUGGCCUGCACUCAAUCCC
Oncorhynchus gorbuscha (pink salmon) is the source of this 475-nucleotide long non-coding RNA. RefSeq lists it as uncharacterized. The transcript is spliced from 3 exons. The record is from RefSeq and is a predicted model, not a curated record. NCBI's taxonomy places the organism in Eukaryota, Metazoa, Chordata, Actinopteri, Salmoniformes, Salmonidae.